This is a ribosomal RNA of Panthera pardus (leopard), 109 nucleotides long. The record is from Ensembl. NCBI's taxonomy places the organism in Eukaryota, Metazoa, Chordata, Mammalia, Carnivora, Felidae.
GUCUACAGCCAUACCACCCUGAACGCGCCCGAUCUCGUCUGAUCUCAGAAGCUAAGCAGGGUCGGGCCUGGUUAGUACUUGGAUGGGAGAGGAAGGGAAACAGUAAACA